AAUGACAACAGCACAAGUUCUAGGAAGAGUGAGCAUGGGUAUGAUUCAGAAGAUGAUUCUGAGACUGGCCAUGAUGAUGAGAAAAGGGGGAAAGAAACACAUGAAGAAAUCCUUCUUAGAUGGAGAUGUUGAUCCUGUGAUUGUUCAUAAGAAGGCAACUAUGUAAGCUAUGUAUAUCUAACCAGUGCUUUUAAUUGUUGGAGAUGAACCUUGCUAAAACUUGGCUUGAUGCUCAUUUCAGAAGGGUGUGUUUUGCCUUUUGCUGUCGGGAAAUUUGAUCAUUUGCCAGGGACUUAUCAUUUGCAACCCUUUACUUGGGAUUACUUGAUUAGCCCCCAUUUUACCUGGAAUUGUUGAUCAUUUGCCCUAUUCAUCAAUUUACUGAUUACUUAAUUUUUUAAUCCACAUAGUACAUUUGGCACCUUUUGCAAUUCCUCCCCGCUCGUAUCUAUUUGCUGCAGAUGAUGCACAGAUAUCAUGAUAUGAUUGACAGAGACCAAGAGGACGGUGCGGAUUGAUGUUAUCUUCAUUUAUAUUUGUGACAGUGCCUCCUUGCAACCAGCACGUUUAUGCAAGCUAUCAGCGUGUUGCUCUGAAAGCCUGAAACUUCGGCGUCACCAUAAUUACUGCUCUAAUAAUGCUUGGUUGCCGUCAGCGUAGUCUAGGGACCAAUCAGUGUAUCCCAAUUAUCAGCUACCAAAAUGAUAUACAUCAUGUAUAUAUCUAGUUUCAGGUAACAAGCAUAGAUGAAUUACUGUGUGAUUGGAAUUCUGUACUCAGUAUUUGACAUGCCAAUAACAAAGAGGUUUACAGAUAUCGCACCUGUUUCUGUUCUCUCUUCCAACUAGCAGUACUAAACUAUUAAAUCUGCUUAAGUGCAUGAUUCUUCUCAGUUAUUUUGCCCAAGCUCGCAGACUGAAUACUCCAUUUCCAAGUGUUGGUUUACAAGGUUGCAUGGGCAGAAGCCAAAGUGCAGAAAUAGACAGAAAAUGAAUCUUCCAUUUGCAACGCUGAUUCAAUGUUGAUACAAAGAUCAGAUAACAUUAAAGAGGGGCCAUGUCUGCAGAGCGACUCCAAUGACUACAGAAAGGAUUGUUCAAACAGACGGGAAAAAAGAGAGAAUAUUACAUGCGACCCUGGAAAUAUCAACAGGAAAAUUCAG
This 1162-nucleotide long non-coding RNA is filed under the name Triticum aestivum (bread wheat). RNAcentral describes it as "long non-coding RNA (TAES_LNC002218)". The record is from RNAcentral. Lineage: Eukaryota; Viridiplantae; Streptophyta; Magnoliopsida; Poales; Poaceae.